UACGUAGGGGGGCUAGCGUUUGUCCGGAAUCAUUGGGCGUAAAGAGCGCGUAGGCGGCUGGAAUAGUCCGGUGUGAAAUCCACAGGCUUAACCUGUGAAUGCCGCUGGAAACUGUCUGGCUAGAGUCCGGAAGGGGCGAGUGGAAUUCCUGGUGUAGCGGUGAAAUGCGCAGAUAUCAGGAGGAACACCAAUGGCGAAGGCAGCUCGCUGGGACGGUACUGACGCUGAUGCGCGAAAGCUAGGGGAGCAAACGGG
RNAcentral lists this ribosomal RNA (255 nucleotides) under uncultured bacterium. RNAcentral's name for it is "partial 16S ribosomal RNA". It matches the Rfam family "Bacterial small subunit ribosomal RNA", at positions 524 to 776 of the family's 1533-position model. The record is from RNAcentral.